Brassica rapa (field mustard) is the source of this 1005-nucleotide long non-coding RNA. RefSeq lists it as uncharacterized. The record is from RefSeq and is a predicted model, not a curated record. Lineage: Eukaryota; Viridiplantae; Streptophyta; Magnoliopsida; Brassicales; Brassicaceae.
AGAUAAAUCAAACAUUAAACUUUAUAUUUUAUAAUAAAAAAUAUUAUUUCAGAUAAACUACAACAUAUUAAAAAAUUAUCUUAUGUUUUAAAAAUAUAUUUUAUUUUUGAGAAUUUUAUUAUAUUUACUUAUAAUCAAUUAUCAAAUAUAACGUAUAAACAAAAUAUAUUAAUAUAUAUUCAUUAGUUUCAUCAAAAUAUAUAUAUAUGCUUAUUAAACCUCUCUCUAACUUGCUCUACCUUCUCUCUACCAAAGUUUCUAAAUCAAAGAAUCUCGUAGGUGACCGGUGGUCUUUCCACCGGUUACCAUCUUUUUUAUUUUGUUUUUUGUUGUGAAUACUUUCGAUCUAUGUAUCGAACUUGCUUCGCGUAGGCGAUCUUGUUUUCGUUAGGCGAUUUUGGUGUGCUAAGCUUUAAUCAAAACAGACCCGAUUUUCACUCUUUGAAGAAAUCAAUCUUUGCUUCAUAUGGAUUUGGCAAAGUAUUCGGAUGAUUUGAAGAUUUGAGUUUUUACAAGUGAGCUUUUGGUUUGGUACAGUUUAAGAAAAGACAGAGUUUGUUCUAUAGACAAGUGUUCUGUCAAUAGCUGUGUCCUAAAUCAGAUAAUGCUUCUUGAAGAUGUUCACAUCCAGUGAAGACAGUAAGAGAGUCUCAGAGGCAACAGCGAUUGAGAGACUGAAGCAUACAAAUGGAAUCAAAGUUGGGUUCGAUCUUUGUGUUCCGGAGGAAUCGACUCGUCGGAGUUCAAGUCGGUUACCUUGCCGGAGAAGAGGCAAUCCUUUCCCAUGAGUGACACGUGGAGCCAGUUAAGAGAUGAUGGAGGCACGUAGAUGGACAACUGCCUUACUCUUGUUCAUCCUUAUCAUAUAAUUUAGGGUUUAAUUGGGCUCAGCAUUUGUAAUGGGUUUGAAUUCCAUUUGUAACAAAAAUUGCCCUUUGGGCUUUUAAUAUAAAGGUUGACAAAAAAAAAAUAUAUAUAUAUAUAUAUGCUUAUUGUUUUGUUAAA